GACGAACGCUGGCGGCGUGCCUAAUACAUGCAAGUAGAACGCACAGUUUAUACCGUAGCUUGCUACACCAUAGACUGUGAGUUGCGAACGGGUGAGUAACGCGUAGGUAACCUGCCUGGUAGCGGGGGAUAACUAUUGGAAACGAUAGCUAAUACCGCAUAAUAUUAAUUAUUUCAUGAUAAUUAAUUGAAAGGUGCAAUUGCACCACUACCAGAUGGACCUGCGUUGUAUUAGCUAGUAGGUGAGGUAACGGCUCACCUAGGCGACGAUACAUAGCCGACCUGAGAGGGUGAUCGGCCACACUGGGACUGAGACACGGCCCAGACUCCUACGGGAGGCAGCAGUAGGGAAUCUUCGGCAAUGGACGAAAGUCUGACCGAGCAACGCCGCGUGAGUGAAGAAGGUUGUCGGAUCGUAAAGCUCUGUUGUAAGAGAAGAACGGGUGUGAGAGUGGAAAGUUCACACUGUGACGGUAUCUUACCAGAAAGGGACGGCUAACUACGUG
RNAcentral lists this ribosomal RNA (505 nucleotides) under uncultured bacterium. RNAcentral's name for it is "partial 16S ribosomal RNA". It matches the Rfam family "Bacterial small subunit ribosomal RNA", at positions 28 to 507 of the family's 1533-position model. The record is from RNAcentral.